This 1704-nucleotide long non-coding RNA is filed under the name Salvia miltiorrhiza (redroot sage). RNAcentral's name for it is "long non-coding RNA (SMIL_LNC008367)". The record is from RNAcentral. Lineage: Eukaryota; Viridiplantae; Streptophyta; Magnoliopsida; Lamiales; Lamiaceae.
ACUUUUCUGGGUUUUAGAACAGAUAAGAAACCUAAGCUCCAUAACCUUGUUUCAGAAAUUUGGAAUUAUUAAAACUGACUUACAUAUUAUCUUUGGUGAAGUUAUCUGGGAAGCUGGUAUUAUGCAGCAAGCUCGGAGAUAUGGGGUAAUGACCGAUCUUCUUAACUGUCUGAUCCUUCUGAUGCGCCAUUCCAUCAUUACUUUUCAGUACUUUAAUCUCAUGAUGCAACUCGUCUUCCCAGUGCUGCAAGGGCACAUCCAGAGAAUCCUUCGAUUUCGGAUGAUCUAUGCCAUCCUGCGGCAACACUUGAUUCCUUUCUGGUUUCAAAUGGCUCAAUGAUCCAGUGGCGCCUUUGUCCAUUGCCUGCAGCCAUGCAGUCUCCAACCGUUGCUCAUGGAUGAUGGAUUCAAUUCUCCGCAAAGGAAGAUCUGACUUGCCAUCUUCUGAGGUACUUACGUCUGCAGAGGAAGUUCUGACUUUCCAAUUAUCCAGCAGACUUACUUUAACCUCUACGUUGCUUCGUAAAACAACUUCAAAUACAUUAGUGAUACUGCUAAGAAAACCUUCUGCUCUGCUCUUGAUAUUACUAUCCUCAAACGCAAUGUGAGCAAUAAAACCACCUGCAUAAACAAGCAUGCACUUGAAAUGACCAUGCUAUUAUAUAUGGGGAUUAAGAUUAUUCUCGUUCGACAUGAUAUCCAGGAAAUUAUGUGAGAACGAGUGAGACAUUCAAAUGCCAAAGACAAAUAAAGUAAUGCAUGAUUCAACCAAAAGUUUAGUUUUCCGAGCCAGGUUAUGAUAGAGCCAAGGGUAUCACAAUUAUAGCGAACAAGACGACAGGAAUAUUGAUUGAAGAGAACAAAAAUAAUAAACAAAAGAGUUCCUCAAGUUUUCUCCUGACCAGCUAAACACCGAUUUCCCAACUAAAAUGUUCCACGCCACUCCUAUGUACUUUAUAUAUAAUCAAAUAAUACAAUAAGAUAUCCCUACAAGUAUAUAAUUAAGUAAUAAAUCAAUCAAAAAUCUUCUUUUUAUCAGUUGGUAUACAUCCAAAAGGAAAGAAUUUUAAUUAAUAUCAAUAUCAAAUUUUAUUUCCCUUCUCCUGUACACUUGUAAAGGAAAGAUUUUAUUCCUGGCAUUUUAAGUGUUAUAGUGCACCUGAAGGAGGUUCUACUUCCAUAAUCCAAUAUGAAUAGGCAGUCACACACAACCUCCAAAUACAAUGCAUCGUCUUUUAAACUGUUGGCCUAUAAAGCAUAAGAAAGAAAGAACCAGAAAUAUCCUAGUUGUUUAGGGUGGAAAUUUUACCUUUCAUUUCUGACAAACAAACAAGCUUUCCAUAAGAAUGAAGUAGUUGCCUCAAUGUCUUAGAAUGGCAUUUCUCAAUACAUUGGAGCCAGAUAUUAAUUAACAUCUUUGAAUCCAUGCAUGUCACUGUCGUUUUACCAGUUGCGCAAUCACCAUUUGAGUCGGUCAGAUUUUCACCAUCAGUGAAUUGGCGUUGAUUGGGUUUGGCAAUUAGUCUGACUGUUUUUUCGUUGCUCAUUGUAUUGCAGUGAGCAGCAACCAUAAAGGGUGAUGGAGAACCUGAUUUUUCAAGUGCAAAUUGUGCAUCUGUGUUCUGCUUGGGGACUGUAGCUUCUCUAAGCAUACUUAUGUGCUCCUGGUCAGUUACCUUUGAACUCUGUCGUCGACUACUGGUG